AUAUUAUGUAAUAUGUUUAUGAUAAUUUUAAAUAUAUUUAAUCUUUAUAUAAAAUUAUAAUAAUAAUAAUAUAUAUAUAUAGUAUAUUAAUUAUUAUAUAUUAAUAAUAUAUAUAAUAAAAAUAUAUUAAUUAUUUUUUCAUCUAUUUUUUUUUCCUUCAACGAAAUAACUAUCAUGAAAAACUAUUUUUUUUUCCUACAAACCAAACACUAAACGACGUAAAAAUUUUUUUUCACCGAAAAUUUUUUUCUACAGUUUUACAUGGAAUUAAACACUCCCUUACUCUCUAAAAAUUAUUAUUUACAUGAAAUAUUCUUUUUUCUUCUAAAUAUUUCUGCAGUACCUUGUUAAGCGGCUUGUGAUUUAAUAUAGGUAAAAAUGUAUAAAACCUACAUUAACUAUUGGCCAUUUUUGAACCAACUAUUUAAUUUUUCAAAUUUUAAUUUUGCUAUCUAGUCUUUCAAUUUAUUUAAUUUACAUCACUCAACAGCACUUUUGAUUUCAAAAUUUGAAUGCAUUGUUUAUCUUUACAAGUUAGCCAGUAUACUUCAUAUAAUUCUUGCAACUAUAAAUUUAUUAAAAUAAAAAAAUUAGCGUAAGUUAAGUUAAAGUGCUAUUAACUAAUUCAAACCAAAUAAUUGAAAGGUUGGCUAGUAAAAUAAAAAAUUU
Molecule: long non-coding RNA, 669 nt
Filed under: Ananas comosus (pineapple)
Lineage: Eukaryota; Viridiplantae; Streptophyta; Magnoliopsida; Poales; Bromeliaceae
Description: long non-coding RNA (ACOM_LNC004111)
Source: RNAcentral